CCCUUAGAUGUUCUGGGCUGCACACGUGCUACACUGGCAGGUUCAGCGAGCUUCAUGCCCUGAUCUGAAAGGAAUGGGAAAUCUUUCCAAAACCUGCCGUGCUUGGGAUAGAUGUUUGCAAUUAUUCAUCUUCAACGAGGAUUGCCUUGUAAGCGCACGUCAUCAGCGUGCAUUGAAUACGACCCUGUAUUCUGUACACACCGCCCGUCGCUCCUACCGAUUGAAGUUUUCGGUGAGUUGACAGGAGGAUUUUUUUGAAACUGGUUCGCCAGUGGAUUUUAGAUCCAAAUGCCAACGAAUCGAUGGCUUUAGAGGAAGGAGAAGUCGUAACA
RNAcentral lists this ribosomal RNA (332 nucleotides) under uncultured eukaryote. RNAcentral's name for it is "partial 18S ribosomal RNA". It matches the Rfam family "Eukaryotic small subunit ribosomal RNA", at positions 1470 to 1796 of the family's 1831-position model. The record is from RNAcentral.